RNAcentral lists this long non-coding RNA (421 nucleotides) under Pongo abelii (Sumatran orangutan). Its description in RNAcentral is "lncRNA (ENSPPYG00000037886.1)". Lineage: Eukaryota; Metazoa; Chordata; Mammalia; Primates; Hominidae. The record is from RNAcentral.
GAUGCCAGUUCCAUUGUUGAAGCAGUCUCCUCAGCCACAGAGACUAAAUUGCCAUAGGUUUCCCAAGGAAGCUUAAGGUCAUGGAAGCUCUAGGGUAAAAGGCGCAGAAACAUAAUCCACAUCCUUUAAGAGGAUACAGGUGGGAACGGCCCAUUAUAUACAUUCUGGAGUUAUUUGCUAAAUUAUCUUUCCAGGACAGAUUGCCCCCAAAAAGAUGAGGCCACACAGCAUGUCCUGUGGGACAGGAGAAAUACGGAGAAUGCAGCACACUUGCUUCCUACCGAAGCAAAUUGAACUGUCUUGCUUCACCAAUCUCAUCUCACUUCCUUCUUUUGCUUCCAACGAAGAGCCACCUUUAUGUCUUCAACUGCAAGGCUGUUCUCAGGAAGAGCUAUGUGUAAAACUUAAAAAUAAAAUGCAG